CCUACGGGAGGCAGCAGUGGGGAAUUUCACAAUGGGCGAAACCCUGACCAGCACUCGCCGCGUGAGGAAGAAAGGCCUUACGGGUCGUAAACCCUCUUACACGGGGACGAUGAUGACGGACCCGGAGGAAGCCCCGUAACUACGUGCCAGCAGCCGCGGAAUAAAACGUGCCAGCCGCCGCGG
Molecule: ribosomal RNA, 183 nt
Filed under: uncultured Nitrospirota bacterium
Lineage: Bacteria; Pseudomonadati; Nitrospirota
Description: uncultured Nitrospirae bacterium partial 16S ribosomal RNA
Rfam family: Bacterial small subunit ribosomal RNA
Source: RNAcentral